Prunus persica (peach) is the source of this 848-nucleotide long non-coding RNA. RefSeq lists it as uncharacterized. The record is from RefSeq and is a predicted model, not a curated record. The transcript has 3 exons. Lineage: Eukaryota; Viridiplantae; Streptophyta; Magnoliopsida; Rosales; Rosaceae.
UUCUAGUCUUGCUCCUUUUUGUUUCAAGAUUAGCUUGGGGCAAGUCGUUAAAUAAAUUGUCAGCAUCCAGUUUCUCACUGGAAGAUUGGAUUGAUUGUUGCAACUUCCUUCUGCCUUUCUUCCUGAUUUCAAUUUCUUCCAGUCAUUAUUAAGGCACCGGAGUUCACAAUUUAUAAUAGAAACAAAAUCAGCUUUUUGCAUAAGCUGAGGUUCCUAUAAGGCACUUGGAUUCAUGCAGCAAGCUAACCAGGCAACCACAAGACACCAAAAGCUUAAGCGCUUAAGGGAAUGGGCCAACAAUGUAUAUGUUAAGCUAGCUUCCUUCACAUGUAGGCUUGCAGAGGUAGAUAAAUGCAGAUAGAGAGAAGUGUAUAGGUGCAGCCCAAUCAUGUACCUUGCAAAUCAGCGGAGAAGUGGGGGAAUGGAGAUUGGAGGUUUCGAACUCAAGGCCUCCUACAACCAGAGCUAUGAUUUCUAUUAGACAACCACUGGUGGAAAGAAAGCCAAGGUUUUCUGGGAUGCAGUGUGUUAACCCUCUCUCUGCUAUUGGGUUACACGGAAUAACUUUGAAGGUUUUAGUGGACUAAACGGAGGAGGAGCCUAGGAAAAAGAUCAGAUUCUGGUCAUCUUAUGGACUUCUGUUUCUACGUAAUCUAAAGAGACUCAUCUCUCUGCUAUUCUUAUGGAUUGAAAGGCUGCAGGCCUUUAUAGCUAGGAGUGUAGGGGGUCCUGGGACCCAAAUUGUUAUAUUUUCGGUUUGAUAGUCCUAUCUAUUCUCAUUUUUGUUUCGUGUACAUUUAAGUGGACUCCUUUUUGUUAGUAUUAAUCGAAUUUUGUAUUUUCUCAAU